RNAcentral lists this transfer RNA (48 nucleotides) under Angiostrongylus costaricensis. It matches the Rfam family "tRNA", at positions 1 to 46 of the family's 71-position model. From Rfam's summary of the family: Transfer RNA (tRNA) molecules are approximately 80 nucleotides in length. Their secondary structure includes four short double-helical elements and three loops (D, anti-codon, and T loops). Further hydrogen bonds mediate the characteristic L-shaped molecular structure. tRNAs have two regions of fundamental functional importance: the anti-codon, which is responsible for specific mRNA codon recognition, and the 3' end, to which the tRNAs corresponding amino acid is attached (by aminoacyl-tRNA synthetases). tRNAs cope with the degeneracy of the genetic code in two manners: having more than one tRNA (with a specific anti-codon) for a particular amino acid; and 'wobble' base-pairing, i.e. permitting non-standard base-pairing at the 3rd anti-codon position. The record is from Rfam by way of RNAcentral. Lineage: Eukaryota; Metazoa; Nematoda; Chromadorea; Rhabditida; Metastrongylidae.
GCUUCCGUAGCGCAGUGGGUAGCGCGUCAGUCUCAUAAUCUGAAGGUC